This 500-nucleotide ribosomal RNA is filed under the name uncultured bacterium. RNAcentral describes it as "partial 16S ribosomal RNA". It matches the Rfam family "Bacterial small subunit ribosomal RNA", at positions 30 to 523 of the family's 1533-position model. The record is from RNAcentral.
AUUGAACGCUGGCGGAAUGCUUUACACAUGCAAGUCGAACGGCAGCACGGACUUCGGUCUGGUGGCGAGUGGCGAACGGGUGAGUAAUACAUCGGAACGUGCCCAGUCGUGGGGGAUAACGUAGCGAAAGAUACGCUAAUACCGCAUACGUCCUAAGGAUGAAAGCGGGGGACCGCAAGACCUCGCGCGAUUGGAGCGGCCGAUGGCGGAUUAGGUAGUUGGUGGGGUAAAGGCUCACCAAGCCGACGAUCUGUAGCUGGUCUGAGAGGACGACCAGCCACACUGGAACUGAGACACGGCCCAGACUCCUACGGGAGGCAGCAGUGGGGAAUUUUGGACAAUGGGCGCAAGCCUGAUCCAGCCAUUCCGCGUGCAGGAUGAAGGCCCUCGGGUUGUAAACUGCUUUUGUACGGAACGAAAAGGCUCUGGUUAAUACCUGGGGCUCAUGACGGUACCGUAAGAAUAAGCACCGGCUAACUACGUGCCAGCAGCCGCCGUAA